GGUUCCGUGGUGUAGUGGUUAACAUGCCUGCCUGUCACGCAGGAGAUCGCGGGUUCGAGUCCCGUCGGGACCGC
This 74-nucleotide transfer RNA is filed under the name Parageobacillus thermoglucosidasius. RNAcentral's name for it is "tRNA-Asp". It matches the Rfam family "tRNA". From Rfam's summary of the family: Transfer RNA (tRNA) molecules are approximately 80 nucleotides in length. Their secondary structure includes four short double-helical elements and three loops (D, anti-codon, and T loops). Further hydrogen bonds mediate the characteristic L-shaped molecular structure. tRNAs have two regions of fundamental functional importance: the anti-codon, which is responsible for specific mRNA codon recognition, and the 3' end, to which the tRNAs corresponding amino acid is attached (by aminoacyl-tRNA synthetases). tRNAs cope with the degeneracy of the genetic code in two manners: having more than one tRNA (with a specific anti-codon) for a particular amino acid; and 'wobble' base-pairing, i.e. permitting non-standard base-pairing at the 3rd anti-codon position. Lineage: Bacteria; Bacillati; Bacillota; Bacilli; Caryophanales; Anoxybacillaceae. The record is from RNAcentral.